This is a non-coding RNA of Dunaliella salina, 92 nucleotides long. The record is from the annotation of a GenBank genome assembly. Lineage: Eukaryota; Viridiplantae; Chlorophyta; Chlorophyceae; Chlamydomonadales; Dunaliellaceae.
GCGGAGGUGGUGGAGCGGUCUAACACGCUAGCUUAAGGUACACCUUGAAACGCUAGUCCUCCGGGGCGCGGGUUCGAAUCCCGUCCUCCGCA